Molecule: RNA transcript, 4113 nt
Organism: Cylas formicarius (sweet potato weevil)
Lineage: Eukaryota; Metazoa; Arthropoda; Insecta; Coleoptera; Brentidae
Gene name: solute carrier family 35 member F3
Exons: 13
Source: RefSeq, a predicted model, not a curated record
UCCAGUUAUUCGACGUCCGCUUUACGUCCGAUCCGGUCGUUUUUCUGUUCGACAUCGAUGGAUCGCGACGAAAAUAUCCGACUACCAGAAACGGUGCUAGGCUCAGCAUGCAACCGAAACUGCUGAAGGUCGUUAACUCUUAAACUUUUCUGGGUUUCUCCUUCGGUCCGUUCUCCGAAAAUAUUGUUUUCAGAUUCACUGCUACGAUUCACGAACGCUCCGUCGUCAUGGAUUAGGAUUUCGAAGCCAUGACCCGCGACGGGGAUAUACCGACGAUCUUCAACCCCCGAGGAGGUAGAAACCGCGCCCCCAGCGUCCUAAUAACCGACGAGGGGGUGGCCAACGGUCCCUCGUUCGGGCAUUCCGACUCAGUCGGAAGUCAACCCGAUUCCGUGGAACCAUUGUCCCCGGCCACCCCCCAGGCAAACAACGCCCCUGGAUUAAGCGAUGCUGCACACAGGGGAGGAUGUAGCGGGAAACUCAAGUCGUGCUCGGCAUCACUAUGUUCCAAGUCUGCCAGGAAAAUUUACUUUGGAGUAUGGGUAACGAUCUGCGUAACCGCGUCCUGGGUAGGCGCGACACACUGUAUCAAAUACUUAUACCUCAGAAGGCCAAAGGAUGACGACGAGGACCCUAUACUUGUCCCCCACGACACUACCGGUUUUAACAUGACAAUAGUACAAACAAAAUACACGUUAUCUUAUCAAGCACCGUUUUUUACCACAUGGUUCGUGACAAACUGGACAAUGCUUUUCUUUCCUCUAUACUUCUUGAGUAGGUUGAGCAUGAAGAGAUGCGAGUCGAUAUCCGACAUAUUGUCGGAGAGCAUCAGAGAUUUUCGCGACAAAGGAUUUACUGCAGUUCGUUUCAUGACGAGGUGCAGCCUCUUCUGUCUGUUAUGGGUGGGCACGAACUACAUGUAUAUAUUAUCGUUAAAAAUCCUCUUGGCUACGGACGUCAUGGCUCUGUUUGCUACCAACGUUUCUUUCGUUUACCUCUUGUCUUGGGUUAUACUGCACGAACAAUUCGUCGGUAUACGCAUCAUGGCUGUGAUAAUUUGCGAUACAGGAGUUGCGCUGCUAGCUUAUAUGGACGGCAUCACCGGCAGUCCGACACUAGGUGGUGUGGUUCUAGCUACGUCUGCAGCUGCUGGCUCGGGAGUGUACAAAGUGCUGUUUAAAAAGGUGAUCGGAGAAGCGACUUACGGGCAAGUCGCGCUCUUCUUCUCGCUUAUCGGGAUGCUCAAUGCCGCUCUAUUGUGGCCUCUAAGUCUCGGUCUCUUCCUUACCGGAGUUGAAACGCUCCACUGGGAGAAACUGCCUUGGCCCGCAUUGUUGAGUUCGAGUUGCCUCUCGCUAGUGGCCAACCUGUUGGGAAAUUUCAGCGUCGCACUCACCUACGAUUUGUUCAUCACCCUAGGACUGAUCACGGCAGUGCCGGUUUCAGCUGCGUUGGACGUGGUCCUCUACGGUGCUCAGUUCGAAGGCAUGAAGCUUGCCGGGUUGAUUUUGAUAGCGGUUGGAUUUUUCUUGGUCAUGUUUCCCGACAACUGGCCCGAUUACAUCACCAGACUGCUUAGAGCAACCACUCGUUUCUUCAACGGCAAGAAGUAUCAUCAUGUUGACGCACAGUGCGAGAUCAUCUUUCUCCAAUCGAGAGGGUCCACGUGCGUCCAGUAAGGAGCUGGGAGGCACCGGCACGUCACUAGCCGUCAGUGUAUGUUUACCAGUAUUGAAAAGUGGAGCAGGCGCAGUAGGAACGGUUUGAAGAACAUGACCAAACGGGACGUGGUUGACUAUCGGACUGGCUACAUUAGGUCCCACCUUCGGUCUCCUUCUGGACGUGUCAGAUGAUUCAGCCAAGUGGAAGCGGACUUACCGCGUCAGGGCGGAAGCCUCCCCGAAAUUUUAUUGUUCUCGGUGUGAAAUUUGAUGACGAAAACAAUAUGCGAUCUCUCACCCGAUCCCGUAAAUAUGAUUAGAGAUUACUAGAACGUGUUUUAGGAAAACAAUAAGUAAUCAAGGUGCUGUAAAAAAAGGACGGAACGUCUCGUCAACGUGAUAUCAGAUUACAUAUAAGACAACUGUAACUAUCCAAUUACAUAAUUUUUCAAGGAAACUUGCACAGGCUAUUGUAAUACUACGAGCUCUAACAACUAAAUGUUCGGACGAUGUAAAAAAUGAUAAAAAAGACAUUUUUAUAUCUAUUUAAUUUUUUUUUUUGCUUUGUCGAUUGAAUAAUCAAUUUACGCACAUUACGAUAGCACAGAAAGUGCUAUCAUAAUGAAUUAUUUUUUAUUUCGCAUGAAUUACAUAGCCAAAUAACGGAAACACCAAAUUUGCUGACAAAUAAAUUUGCGGGCGCCCAAGAAAUCAAUGCUACCCAUGCCUUGAUGGUAAAAUGUAGUGUGCUUAGAUAAAUGAGAUGUCAGUUCGGGUUGUAUCUUUCAAGUUUGUAUAAUAGUUGAUAAGAAAAUGACGCGUGGUGUUGCAACAAACAAAAAAGUGUGAGAAAUUAUCAUAUCUCAGUACUGCAGAGGUAAAUCAAUGCAAAAAAUUUCAAAUGACUUGAGUAUUGCAAAAUCAACAGUCAGGGAUAUUAUAAAAAGUAUGGAGAGACAGCUAGUGUUAGCGUUAGUGGUAAAAGUUCAGGCCGACCCCGUAAAAUCACUGAAAGAGAUCGUCGUAUUCUGGUCAAGAUUUGUAAAUCUAGCAGAAGAAGCGUCUUACGACAAAUUCACGCCCAAUGGAAUCACGAGGCAAACUAUCUCCCGGGAAUGUUGUAGACAAUGGAUGCAUAAGUCUAGUUUGAGUUUUUAUAAGAUAAGUUUACAAUUUUUCCUGUUUCAAUAUAAAAAUUAUUAAUAUUCUAUGAUCUACUUUUGUUAAAAUCUAAAAUAUCCUGGACAACGGAAACCUGGAGUAACGUUAUCUUCAGCGACGAAUCAAAAUUUGAUGUGUGAUGUAGGCGAUUUUCGAAAAAGGGUGAUUCGUAUAAAAUCAGAAGCCUUUCACAAAGACUGUCUAAAGCGUACGGUACAACUUCCCCAGGGUGUUAUGAUAUGGGGGUGUAUGAGUGGUAAAGGGGUUGGCAACUACGAGUUCAUUGAUGGUAUUGUAAAUGCAGAAAAAUAUCAACAAUUUUUAUCAAGAAGUUUGAUUCCAUCAAUAGAACGAACUUUUGGAAAUGAAAAUUUUAUAUUUCAACAAGACUGUGCGUCCUGCCAUACUGCGAAAACAACAAAAAAGUGGUUUGGGGACCAUAAUAUGAAAGUUUUAUCGUGGCCAUCAAGUAUUGAAUUAUUGAAACUUUUUGGUAUCGGAUGAAAAAGACUUUGCGUAACAAUCCUCAGCAUACAGUUCCAGCAUUAAAGGCAAAAAUCACGGAAAUUUGGAAUACUUUCACCCCCGAAGACUUUUUUGGUAUGUUUUUGAUAUUUUGUUAUGUAAUUUAUGUGAAACAAAGAAAUAAUUCAUUACGAUAGCACUUUUUUAUAUAAAAAUAAAUGCGUGAUGUUUUCUUGUUAUUUCGUACAUCAUCCGAACAAUUAGUUGUUAGGGCUCGUAUUUACAAAACUUCUGAAUUCUAUUCUGUACCUGCUUAUACAGGUUUAUUUGCAGUGAGUGUCCUAUUAGACGUUUAUGGAGAAUGAAUUACGAUAAAAACCUGAACUGUUGUUAGUUAUGUAAGCAAAUAUGAGCUAAAUACGUAAAAUAUAUUUUGGCCAUGCGGUAUUGCCAGACAUACACGUAACGCAUAUGAGCUUUCGUUUUCUAAAUGGAACACCCCCGAAUAUUAUUACAUUUUUAGAUUCUGCGAAACAGUCUGGAUCUUUUUAAUGUAACAUGUACCAUACCUAUCUUGAACAUUUUCGGAGAUAAAAAAUACUUCUUAAGGAACCCGUUAUAAAAUAACAAUUUUUUUCGCAACCCGUGAAGUCACAUGCUUGAAUUUUUGGUUGCGGUUCCCUAAUAAAUUGCUUUAUCACAAUAUUGUAGGAGAAUUAACUUAUCGUGUGUACAUAAGAUAAUUAGCAUAAUUGACAAGAUAUAACCACACCCCAUAUUUUAUAUUGGCAGUUAAAUGACAAAUUAGUUUCCCAUCUAAAAGUAC